RNAcentral lists this ribosomal RNA (253 nucleotides) under uncultured Funneliformis. RNAcentral describes it as "partial 28S ribosomal RNA". The record is from RNAcentral. Lineage: Eukaryota; Fungi; Glomeromycota; Glomeromycetes; Glomerales; Glomeraceae.
GAGAGUUAAACAGUACGUGAAAUUGUUGAAAGGGAAACGAUUGAAAGAUGUGAUGUUUGAGACCGAGGAUUGCAACGGAUACCCUUCUGGGCUAUUCGUCUGAUCUCUGAAACGUUGCCUUGAUGUCGAAAGCUUGCUUAUGAUGUUAGGGUAUUACGGUCAAAAGGUUAGAACGGAUUAAAUUCGUUAAGGAUGUUGACGUAAUGACUUUAAACGACCCGUCUUGAAACACGGCUGUCUCUUAUACACAUCU